RNAcentral lists this ribosomal RNA (256 nucleotides) under uncultured bacterium. RNAcentral describes it as "partial 16S ribosomal RNA". It matches the Rfam family "Bacterial small subunit ribosomal RNA", at positions 524 to 775 of the family's 1533-position model. The record is from RNAcentral.
UACGUAGGGUGCGAGCGUUGUCCGGAAUUAUUGGGCGUAAAGGGCUCGUAGGCGGUUUGUCGCGUCGGGAGUGAAAUCCACUGGCUUAACUGGUGGCUUGCUUUCGAUACGGGCAGACUGGAGGUAUGCGAGGGGAGAACGGAAUUCCGGGUGUAGGCGGAUUGGAAUGCGUAGAGAUCCGGAAGAACACCGGUGGCGAAGGCGGUGAGCUGGGCAGUAGCUGACACUGAGGCGCGACAGCGUGGGGAGCAACAGG